RNAcentral lists this ribosomal RNA (1079 nucleotides) under Nelumbo nucifera (sacred lotus). RNAcentral describes it as "SSU rRNA". It matches the Rfam family "Eukaryotic small subunit ribosomal RNA", at positions 638 to 1440 of the family's 1831-position model. Lineage: Eukaryota; Viridiplantae; Streptophyta; Magnoliopsida; Proteales; Nelumbonaceae. The record is from RNAcentral.
AUCUUGGUGGUAGUAGCAAAUAUUCAAAUGAGAACUUUGAAGCUGAAGAGGGGAAAGGUUCCAUGUGAAUGGCACUUGUACAUGGGUUAGUCGAUCCUAAGAGAUGGGGGAAGCCCGUCAGAUAGCGCGAUCAGCACGAGCUUCGAAAGGGAAUCAGGUUAAAAUUCCCAAACCGGGACGCGGCGGUUGACGACAACGUUAGGGAGUCUGGAGACGUCGACGGGGGCCCCGGGAAGAGUUAUCUUUUCUAUUUAACGGCCUGCCCACCCUGGAAUCGGCUCAGCCGGAGGUAGGGUCCAGCGGCCGGAAGAGCACCGCACGUCGCGUGGUGCAUUCGUAUUUCAUAAUCAGAGGUGAAAUUCUUGGAUUUAUGAAAGACGAACCACUGCGAAAGCAUUUGCCAAGGAUGUUUUCAUUAAUCAAGAACGAAAGUUGGUGGCUCAAAGACGAUCAGAUACCGUCCUAGUCUCAACCAUAAACGAUGCCAACCAGGGAUCGACGGAUGUUGCUUUCAGGACUCGACCAGCACCUUAUGAGAAAUCAAAGUCUUUGGGUUCUGAGGGGAGUAUGGUCGCAAGGCUGAAAUUUAAAGGAAUUGACGGAAGGGCACCACCAGGAGUGGAGCAUGCGGCUUAAUUUGACUCAACAUGGGGAAACUUACCAGGUCCAGACAUAGUAAGGAUUGAUAGACUGAGAGCUCAUUCUUGAUUCUAUGGGUGGUGGUGCAUGGCCGUUCUUAGUUGGUGGAGCGAUUUGUCUGGUUAAUUCCAUUAACGAACGAGACUUCAGCCUGCUAACUAGCUAUGCGGAGGCACCCUUCGCAGCCAGCUUCUUAGAGGGACUAUGGGGCCCAUCUUGGAAAAAUGUAUAUGGGGCCCAUCUUGAAAAAAUGUAUAUGGGCGCAUCUUGAAAAAAUGUAUGUGGGGCCCACCUUGAAAAAAUGUAUGUGGUGCCCACCUUGAAAAGAUGUAUGUGGGGCCCACCUUGAAAAUAUGUAUGUGGGGCCCACCUUGAAAAAAUAUAUAUGGAGCCCACCUUGAAAAAAUGUAUGUGGGGCCUACCUUGAAAAAAAUGUAUAU